This 407-nucleotide long non-coding RNA is filed under the name Scleropages formosus (Asian bonytongue). RNAcentral's name for it is "lncRNA (ENSSFOG00015029524.1)". The record is from RNAcentral. Lineage: Eukaryota; Metazoa; Chordata; Actinopteri; Osteoglossiformes; Osteoglossidae.
UACACCAGUCAGGAGCACAGGGAGAAGAAGCUGCAACAGCGCCCAUCCUUGGCUCUGUGCCCAAUGCCAGCGGACUUUGCAGGAACCACGGCAACACUCCCCUGCACCCUAUGGAGGAGCAUGGGGGUCAGAUCCAGCGCUUGGAGAGCACUGUCACAGAGCUCCAUUUGGAGAUGACCCUGAAGUAUGAAGACAAGCUGGAGCAGCUUGAGGAAGUGCACCACCUGGAGAACAGGAUCACGGAGCUGAGCAAGGAGGCAAGUAUAGAUGUUGUGCGCUUGAGCCCGAUCUGCCAACUUGCUGUUGUGAGGGGCCGCAGCUGUUCGGAUCAGAGAACCUUCCUGGGCCUCCAUCAUGCUGUGCCAGGUCUCAUCAUUCAGAGUUUUACCAGUGCUGUGGAAUACUGA